RNAcentral lists this ribosomal RNA (301 nucleotides) under uncultured bacterium. Its description in RNAcentral is "bacterial SSU rRNA". It matches the Rfam family "Bacterial small subunit ribosomal RNA", at positions 369 to 667 of the family's 1533-position model. The record is from RNAcentral.
ACAUGGGCGAGAGCCUGAUCCAGCCAUGCCGCGUGCAGGAAGACUGCCCUAUGGGUUGUAAACUGCUUUUAUACGGGAAGAAACACUCCUACGUGUAGGAAUUUGACGGUACCGUAAGAAUAAGCAUCGGCUAACUCCGUGCCAGCAGCCGCGGUAAUACGGAGGAUGCAAGCGUUAUCCGGAAUCAUUGGGUUUAAAGGGUCCGUAGGCGGGCAGUUAAGUCAGGGGUGAAAGUUUGCGGCUCAACCGUAAAAUUGCCUCUGAUACUGAUKGUCUUGAAUUAGUGUGAAGUGGUUAGAAU